RNAcentral lists this long non-coding RNA (1110 nucleotides) under Elaeis guineensis (African oil palm). RNAcentral describes it as "long non-coding RNA (EGUI_LNC008296)". Lineage: Eukaryota; Viridiplantae; Streptophyta; Magnoliopsida; Arecales; Arecaceae. The record is from RNAcentral.
ACAAAAAUACACAUAAUGUGCAUAAAAAAUUAAUAUAAUUUUAUUAAUCUCAAAAAUUCAAUUACAAAAUUAUGUCCUAGAAACUAUAUAUGUGUCAGCCAAUCUAGCUUCUAGGACAUACAUCUAAUAUCUCUUUCCUACCCUUCCUUUCCCUCCCUUGUAGCUACGUCGAUAUGGAUCUAAAACAAAUCAGGAUGGUACCAUACUAUAUCAUACUGUACCAAACUACUAAACAAUUGGUGUGGAUCCCAGUUAUAACAUACCAUAUCGCUAGGCAACUAGUAUGGGUUCCAAUACCAGCAUCCUAUAUUUUGGUCUUGAGUUAUUGUGCCUUCUCCAACUUAUCUACGAGUCUUUAAUUGUCAUUCUAUUAGUGCAGUAAGAAACCACAACAAAAUUUAUCUAAAUAGAAGUUAAAUGUUUGCAAUUUUGUCAAAGGUGAUCAAUGUACUGAGUGAGGUUUGCAGAGAGGACAGCAAAAGAGAUCCAAUGUUUUUUACCUAGGAUUCCCUUGUAUUUAGCUUGUUCUUCGCUGCUAGUCACAUGAAAUAUUUACUUCUGGCCUUGAAAGUGCAAGGGCAAGUUGGCAGAUAAUUCCUCAAUGAUCUAAGAAUCUUAUAGGACUGAUAAAGUAAAUUUUGCUACCGCUCCUCUUUCGCUAAACUUUAUCCCAGUUGUUAGAAAGUUCUAUAUGAUCUAAGACCUCCAUCAUGUAAAUUGGCUACAUGCCAAUACUGAAACCACAACUAACAAUGCACAUUUGCACAUAGUUAAAGGUAAUUUACAAAUAAACCAAAAGAACACUUCAAGUUCUUUGAUUUCCAACAAGUGCUACAAAACCAAAAUAUCAACAAAGUUUCAAACAAAACUAUAGUAGCAAGGCUGGGUCCAACUAAUUAAUCCAGGAACUUGUUCUAUGCUCCCAUCUUAGUCAAAAACCGCCCCCUUCUAAACAUUGGAUUCUAAAAAGGAGGGAGAGAGGGAGAAGGGUGAUGAGCUAAAUAUCCAGUGGGUAACCAAAAAUCAUAGAUAGAAGGAUCAAGCAAGUAAAAUAUGAAAGGACUUUUAACAAACUAUGAUGCAUAAGACAAAAAAAUAUGUCGAUAGUUA